RNAcentral lists this transfer RNA (62 nucleotides) under Ramazzottius varieornatus. Its description in RNAcentral is "tRNA-Glu". The record is from RNAcentral. Lineage: Eukaryota; Metazoa; Tardigrada; Eutardigrada; Parachela; Ramazzottiidae.
AAAUAAAUAAUGUAAACUAACAUAUUAUAAUUUCAUUAUAAAAAUGCCAAAGGUUUUAUUUU